Erpetoichthys calabaricus (reedfish) is the source of this 494-nucleotide non-coding RNA. NCBI's taxonomy places the organism in Eukaryota, Metazoa, Chordata, Cladistia, Polypteriformes, Polypteridae. The record is from the annotation of a RefSeq genome assembly.
UUGCAUAGAUGCCACCCUGUCUGUCACCAUUUCUCAUUUCAGAGCUCUGCCAGGGUUUAUAACUUCAUCAAUGAGGCACACUAGCAGGAUCCAAAGCAGCAAUGACUUCUCCACUGCUCCCCAUCUUUCUCUUUCUCACAUUAUACAGUCAAGACUCCAGCUGUGAGAUUAAGGUAACUCAGACUCCAACAGCCAAAUCAGUCUCUGUAGGAGACAACGUUGACUUUACAUGUACAACCAGCACUGAUAUGAGUAGUAAUGUAGACUGGUACCAUCAGAGACCUGGAGAAGCUCCUAAGCUCCUGAUCUAUGCAGCAAAUGAACUUGCAGAUGACAUCCCAGAUCGCUUCAGUGGCAGCGGAUCAGAGACUGAAUUCACACUGACUAUCACUGGAGUCCAGGCUGAGGAUGCAGGACAUUACUACUGUUUACAGUAUGAAGAGUUUCCUCUCACACAGCGACAGAGAGCCAUACAAAAACUUCUCAACAUCUGA